UUUUGACCUCGGAUCAGGUA
RNAcentral lists this ribosomal RNA (20 nucleotides) under Alternaria alternata. RNAcentral describes it as "partial 28S ribosomal RNA". Lineage: Eukaryota; Fungi; Ascomycota; Dothideomycetes; Pleosporales; Pleosporaceae. The record is from RNAcentral.